AACGAACGCUGGCGGCAUGCCUAACACAUGCAAGUCGAACGAGACCUUCGGGUCUAGUGGCGCACGGGUGCGUAACGCGUGGGAACCUGCCCUUAGGUUCGGAAUAACUCCCCGACAGGGGUGCUAAUACCGGAUAAUGUCUUCGGACCAAAGAUUUAUCGCCUUUGGAUGGGCCCGCGUUGGAUUAGCUAGUUGGUAGGGUAAAAGCCUACCAAGGCGACGAUCCAUAGCUGGUCUGAGAGGAUGAUCAGCCACACUGGGACUGAGACACGGCCCAGACUCCUACGGGAGGCAGCAGUGGGGAAUAUUGGACAAUGGGCGAAAGCCUGAUCCAGCAAUGCCGCGUGAGUGAUGAAGGCCGUAGGGUUGUAAAGCUCUUUUACCCGGGAUGAUAAUGACAGUACCGGGAGAAUAAGCUCCGGCUAACUCCGUG
This 433-nucleotide ribosomal RNA is filed under the name uncultured bacterium. Its description in RNAcentral is "partial 16S ribosomal RNA". It matches the Rfam family "Bacterial small subunit ribosomal RNA", at positions 29 to 507 of the family's 1533-position model. The record is from RNAcentral.